Molecule: transfer RNA, 77 nt
Filed under: Lysobacterales bacterium CG02_land_8_20_14_3_00_62_12
Lineage: Bacteria; Pseudomonadati; Pseudomonadota; Gammaproteobacteria; Lysobacterales
Description: Xanthomonadales bacterium CG02_land_8_20_14_3_00_62_12 tRNA-Arg
Rfam family: tRNA
About the family: Transfer RNA (tRNA) molecules are approximately 80 nucleotides in length.
Source: RNAcentral
GUCCUCGUAGCUCAGCUGGAUAGAGCGUUCGCCUCCUAAGCGGAAGGUCGCCGGUUCAAAUCCGGCCGAGGACGCCA